GUGGGGAAUAUUGGGCAAUGGGGGAAACCCUGACCCAGCGACGCCGCGUGAGGGAAGACGGCCUUCGGGUUGUAAACCUCUUUUGUACGGGAAGAAGGAAGUGACGGUACUGUACGAAUAAGUCCCGGCUAACUACGUGCCAGCAGCCGCGGUAAUACGUAGGGGACGAGCGUUGUCCGGAAUUACUGGGCGUAAAGGGCGCGCAGGCUGUGCUGCAAGUCAGCUGUGAAAUGUCUGGGCUUAACCCGGGCAUGCGGUUGAGACUACAGUGCUGGAGUGCUGUAGAGGCAAGUGGAAUUCCCAGUGUAGCGGUGAAAUGCGUAGAUAUUGGGAAGAACACCGGUGGCGAAGGCGACUUGCUGGGCAGCAACUGACGCUGAGGCGCGAAAGCCAGGGGAGCAAACGGGAUUAGAAACCCUGGUAGUCC
RNAcentral lists this ribosomal RNA (427 nucleotides) under uncultured bacterium. RNAcentral's name for it is "partial 16S ribosomal RNA". It matches the Rfam family "Bacterial small subunit ribosomal RNA", at positions 354 to 796 of the family's 1533-position model. The record is from RNAcentral.